Gasterosteus aculeatus aculeatus (three-spined stickleback) is the source of this 670-nucleotide long non-coding RNA. The record is from Ensembl. Lineage: Eukaryota; Metazoa; Chordata; Actinopteri; Perciformes; Gasterosteidae.
CUCCAGGACCGAGGAAGCACACUGCAUGGAAUCCAACUGUGAAACUGCAUCCUCACCGAAACGAAUCUUGAAGCUGGAGUUCAUCCCAGCCAACUUCGGGCGAUAGACAGGGUACAUCCUGGACUGGUCACCAGCCUAUCGCAGGGCUAAACAAAACUUCAGAAACCUACAGGACCAAAUACCAUCGCUUUAGUUUUAAAAUUUUAGCGGCUACCAGAAAGAAAGAAAAAAGACAUUCCCAAAUUCCCAUUCCCAUUCCCAUUCCCAUUCCCAAAGCCAAAGAGAAGACCAGAAAAGGGAGAACGGAUAACUGGCAGGACCCGGCGGCCCGAUAUCUGUGAUCUGGCCGAUUGGCCUGCAUUUACCAUCGAGGCAUAACGCCGCCGCAACUCCUGUGCUUCGUAGAACAAAGCAGCGGACAACUGAGAAGAGGGGAACUACCAAGAAACCUCCCCAGCUAACAGGUUUAAAACUACAAAACAGGUUUGCUCCACUGUUGCAGGACCAUGGAUCCCCCUCUAAAUUUCUGGAUAACCCUCCACCACCACGCAGCAGGGCAUCUUUUUAAGACAAAUGGACUUUGCCUGAAUAAGAUGGGAGCAAAGCUUUUCAUUACCAACAUGUUUUACAUCAUGCGUCAUCCAUCUGUCCCCACUGCCAAGGACACGAG